CUACGUGCCAGCAGCCGCGGUAAUACGUAGGGUGCGAGCGUUAAUCGGAAUUACUGGGCGUAAAGCGAGCGCAGACGGUUACUUAAGCAGGAUGUGAAAUCCCCGGGCUCAACCUGGGAACUGCGUUCUGAACUGGGUAGCUAGAGUAUGUCAGAGGGGGGUAGAAUUCCACGUGUAGCAGUGAAAUGCGUAGAGAUGUGGAGGAAUACCGAUGGCGAAGGCAGCCCCCUGGGAUAAUACUGACGUUCAUGCUCGAAAGCGUGGGUAGCAAACAGGAUUAGAUACCCUGGUAGUCCACGCCCUAAACGAUGUCGAUUAGCUGUUGGGCAGCUUGACUGCUUAGUAGCGUAGCUAACGCGUGAAAUCGACCGCCUGGGGAGUACGGUCGCAAGAUUAAAACUCAAAGGAAUUGACGGGGGCCCGCACAAGCGGAGGAACAUGUGGUUUAAUUCGAUGAUACGCGAGGAACCUUACCCGGGCUUGAA
Molecule: ribosomal RNA, 485 nt
Filed under: uncultured bacterium
Lineage: Bacteria
Description: bacterial SSU rRNA
Rfam family: Bacterial small subunit ribosomal RNA
Source: RNAcentral